AUACCAUGAUGAGGGCAUAUUCUCAAUAGAUCUUUAAACCGCUUCCAAGCUUCAUACAAAGAUUCACCAUCAUUUUGGCAAAAGUUAUUAAUUUCUCCCCUCAAUUU
Cannabis sativa is the source of this 107-nucleotide small nucleolar RNA. The record is from RefSeq and is a predicted model, not a curated record. NCBI's taxonomy places the organism in Eukaryota, Viridiplantae, Streptophyta, Magnoliopsida, Rosales, Cannabaceae.